GUAUAGUACUACAAGACGAGAAGACCCUUUGGAGCUUAAGGUACAGAAUUCAGCCACGUUAAGCAACUCCGUAAACAGCAAGAACUUAGUGGUCAUGAAAUUUUACCUUCGGUUGGGGCGACCGCGGAGGAAAAGCAAGCCUCCGAGUGGACUGGGCCGAGACCCUAAAGCCAAGAGAAACAUCUUCAAGCCGCAGAACAUCUGACCAAUAAUGAUCCGGCUAAAAAGCCGAUCAACGGACCAAGUUACCCUAGGGAUAACAGCG
This 265-nucleotide ribosomal RNA is filed under the name Notropis atherinoides (emerald shiner). RNAcentral's name for it is "partial large subunit ribosomal RNA". The record is from RNAcentral. Lineage: Eukaryota; Metazoa; Chordata; Actinopteri; Cypriniformes; Leuciscidae.